This 1591-nucleotide ribosomal RNA is filed under the name Triticum aestivum (bread wheat). RNAcentral describes it as "partial small subunit ribosomal RNA". The record is from RNAcentral. Lineage: Eukaryota; Viridiplantae; Streptophyta; Magnoliopsida; Poales; Poaceae.
CUUUCUUCUACACGUCUCCUCUCCACUCCAUCCCCACGUCCACCCACCGUCCCACCCCUACAAUGGAUUCUCUCCCGCCGCCGCCGCCGUCGCUGCCGCCGUUUGGCUCGCUGCUCCUGCCCUUGCCAUCCGAUUCGUCACUGCCCUCUCUCCCUUGGCCUGACCUCAUCGCCGGUGCGGCCGGCGCCACCCUCCGCCUCGUCUCCGCCCACUCACGCCACUUCCUCGCCCUCUCCUGCCUCCUCCUCCUGCCGCUCUCGCUCCUCCUCCUCUCCCUCCCCGCGCCCUUCCCCGGCGCCUCUCCUUCCGUCUCCCUCCGAUCCCCGCAAGAUUCUUGGAGCAACCCCCUCUUGCUUCUCGCUCUCGUGGCGGCGGCGCUUCUUUACCUCGCCGCCUUCGCCGCCGCCGCCGCCAGCGCGCACGCCGGAUUCUUCGGCCGCCCCGUCAAGCUCCUCGCCUCGCUCCUCUCCGUUCCCGCGUCCGUUCUCCGCCUCCUCCUCACAGCCCUCCCGGCCUCCCCUCUUCUGCUUAUCCCCCUGCUCCCACUGCCCGCUGCACUUAGCACAGCUAUUGCUCUUCUUGGCGUCUCCCUCUUAGCCCCCUUCUGGUCCCUCGCCGGCGCCGCAGCCAUCGUGGAGUCCGCUGCUGGGCCCUCCGCGCUCCGCCAGAGCUGCCGGCUGCUCUCCGGCGCACGCCUGGCGGCGCUCUCGGCGUUCUUGGUCUUUGCCGCAGGCAUGGGGGUAGUACUCUGGGGUUUCAGUGGGGUGGCCAUGGAGACAUAUGAUGCUGCCACCGGUUGGGCUGGCAUGGCGCCGGCUGUGGUCAAGGCCAUGGUUGGAGCGGCGGUGUUGGCUGCAAUGAUGCUGUAUGGAAUGGUGAUCAACGUGGUAUUGUAUAUGCACUGCCGUGCGCUGCAUGGGGAGCUCACUGGAGAGAUCUACAAUGAAUUUGCAAGCUCAUAUGUCUACCUGCCGUUCGACGAGGGCAAGGAUCGUCAUAUUGUAUCGGUGGUCACACUGUGGCCUUGAUUGUCUAUCGCGCUAUCUGGUUAAUGGUGAGUUUAUACAUUCCAAGCACAGUUUUGACCACAGUCCUGAUGACUAUGUGUUCGUUGCUGUUCCUCUCUGCAUAAGUGUGUGUUCCACCGUGCAAAUGUUAAGAUGAAAUAGUGUCUUCUUAGCCUCAGAUGCGGUGCUCUUAACAUAAAAGUGUCUGUUAUAUGUAGGCUGUUGUAUCAGUAUUACUGAAUAGCAAACCAGUACUUAUGUGGAUGGUUUACCUCAGAACAACAUAGUGGUAUAUAUCAGGGAUGACUGAAAAGUCUGUUCCAGUUAAAAGAGUCUGGGUUGGAAUUGCUUCAGUGUUUAGAAUGCAUUUUGCUUGAAUGGUACAGUGAGGUGUUUGUAACACUGCUGGAGAAAAUAAAUUCUUGAUAGUUUCAGAAUUCAGACAUACCAAAAGCACAUUUGUUUGAUUAAUUUACCAUGGGCGUGAAGCAGAAGUUGUACAAUUUCAGAUGCCAUUGAAUGCAAAUGUAAUCUGCGAAACAACAUCAUGCAUUAUCUUCAUUGCAAUUUUCUUCAUUCAGAGA